This 254-nucleotide ribosomal RNA is filed under the name uncultured bacterium. Its description in RNAcentral is "partial 16S ribosomal RNA". It matches the Rfam family "Bacterial small subunit ribosomal RNA", at positions 524 to 776 of the family's 1533-position model. The record is from RNAcentral.
UACGUAGGGUGCGAGCGUUGUCCGGAAUUAUUGGGCGUAAAGAGCUCGUAGGCGGUGUGUCACGUCGUUCGUGAAAACCUGCAGCUUAACUGUGGGCGUGCGGUCGAUACGGGCAUCACUGGAGUUCGGCAGGGGAGACUGGAAUUCCUGGUGUAGCGGUGAAAUGCGCAGAUAUCAGGAGGAACACCGGUGGCGAAGGCGGGUCUCUGGGACGAUACUGACGCUGAGGAGCGAAAGCGUGGGGAGCGAACAGG